Molecule: long non-coding RNA, 380 nt
Filed under: Olea europaea (common olive)
Lineage: Eukaryota; Viridiplantae; Streptophyta; Magnoliopsida; Lamiales; Oleaceae
Description: long non-coding RNA (OEUR_LNC000419)
Source: RNAcentral
GGGUCUCAAAUUUUGGAUGGUCUCCAAACAGUGGCAGAAAAUAUGGUGAAUGGUGAAGAAGGCAGGAAGGUUUCUGGCUUUCUGUUGAUUCUCUCCCUAACAACUAACAAGUAGCGGCGGAGCUAUCACCAUUAUUGCAGCCAGGAGAAGAUCAUUGCUUCUAGAAUUGCCGAUUAUUGCAGCCAAUAUAGGAGUGCAUUUGUAUUUUGUAUGUCUGUAUGAGAUACAGAAAGAAGAAGAAGUUAGAGAGAGAGAGGGAGUGAGAGAGAGAGAGAGAAGUGGGAAACCUUGCCAAAUCAAUUUUCUCAAUUUGUCAAAUAGAUUCUCACGUGCUUAGGACUUAGGAGCUCUUACCAAUGCCAUAUUUACUAACAUAGCAC